CCCGUGCGCCUCAGGGCAGGAGCAACGCCAGCAUCCCUGGGGACUGCCCUGUAACGCCAGCUCGCUGCCCCCGCAUGCCUGCCUGCGCCGGGGAGGCAGCUGGGCACCCCCGCACCCCCUCCGGGCUUCGCGUGUGGGAGGCCAGCCCCCGCGCAGGCUGCCAGCUCUUCUUCUGGCACCGAUCCCUGUGCAGCUCCGGCAAAUUGGCAGAAAGCUUCCCCCCGGGGCCCGAGGCACCACGGACCCAGGCUACGUGUGGCUGAGCCAGCCCAGCAUCCCAGGGGACCGCUCCUGGCAGUGUCCCUGCCUCCAGCCGGAUGCUGCCGGGAGGGUCCGCAGGCUUUUGAGAGUGGGGGAACCCCACCCCGCGUGCGAGACCCCAGCAGGAGCUCGGCAGCAGCUGCAGCAGAGCUGAGCAGAACGAUGCAAGAUGUCUGGAGACGGCCAGCUACCGGCAGGAGCGCGUGGGAGAGGAGCUGCCCGCCACGGGGCUCUGCCUGCGCGCGGGAGGGACCACACAGACGCUUCGCCGUCCGGCCCUUCGCAGCCUUGGGACGCCUGGAAAGAGCAGCACAGAUUUUCCAUCCGUCCCCGGGCUGGGUCCCCCCUCCAGUGGUGAUUCGGCCCAUCUGGCACUUCUCUCUUCUCUCCAAAGCGACUUUGGAGCCAGCAAAUACCGCAGGCGCUACUUGCAUUGUGGCUCUGACUCAAGGGACUGGGCUUCUGCAGGUGACACCUUGCAUCCAAGGACCCAGAUGUCUUCCUUGCUGUGCUGUGGCCACCCAGAUCACCGCUCUCCGGCCAGCCAUGUGUAGGCCAUCAGCUGCUAAGGUGGAGAAACUGGCAGCAAUUGGCGCUGGAGCCCAUUGGGGCUCUCUGAGAACCUGGAGCUGGGCUUGGGCAUCAGAAGAUGGACAUGACACCCAGCUGUGCAGGCAGGGAGAGCCUGGAGGUUCGUGCAGCCACCCUGUCCCUGCCACCACUGGCUUUGCAAGACAUAAGGGCUGUUUCGGAGGAGCUGGGACAGGGGAGUGACUUUGCACCAGCAGAUCCAGUCCUGGCACACUUGAGGCCGCGCACGUUGCCGAAGCAGGCUGUGCCCCAAGCUGGAGAGUCUGCAGAGAAACCCCGGGAGAGCUCGACAAGAGCUGAGGACAUUUCCGAUGGAGGCAGACAGGACACUCAGCCUACUUAGUUUAUCAGGAAGAAGAUCAAGGGGCGGCUUGAUUACAGUCACAAGGACCUUGGUGCGUAAGUACCUUGGCAGAAAUAACAAGCCAGGUACUUAAGAGCUCUUUAAUCUAGCAGGGAAAAGCAAAACAAGGGCCAAUCGCUCCACAUUUCCAGCAGUCCGAGUGAUUAACUCCAGAAUGAGAAGCAGGAACCCAGGCUGCCUUCCCAGGGCUGCUGCAGGGCUGGCUGGGGUCUCCCACCCCAGCAUCACCUGGAGCAGCGUAUUUUACCUUAAUGGAAGGUACAAGAAACUUUUGGAGAUGGCAGAGGGGCUGUGGGGCUGGGGCAGCGUGGGGUGACCCAUUAAAUGCUUCGGCUGCAGAGGGCACACCUCGGCAGGCGAGGUGGCCACUGCUGGUGCUUGGGACAAGGCAGGGUACAGGUGGCAUUGUCCGGGAGCAGGGGGUAGCAUGGCAUGGGGCAGGUGGCUCUGGCCAGGGAAUCUGCAAAAUGGCAUUUAUGGUGAGAUUGCAGCCGAAAACUCUUUGUGCCAGAGGGAUCUCCAGCUGCUGAGGUUCGAGCUUCUGAGCAGAGGGAAAAUUGAUCCCCUCUCUGCAAGCUCACAAACCCGACCAAAAGCUCCCGAGGCCACAGGGGAGCUGGAUCACCUGGCAGCACCGGGGGCUGAUCCCAGUAAUGUGCCUCUGGGAUCUCCUGCUGGACACAGCUAACAGGUACCAGGCAGCUGCAUCUUCAUCGUGCCAAAAGCGUGGUGAAGCUGAAGUAGGAACAGAGCGCUUCUCUCACGAAACCAUUCAUGUUUCUAUUUAAAUCCUAUUCUUCCCCUCGGUUUUACAGUUUGCUGGUUAAAAAUCAACAGCCUGGCCAGGGCCCUGUUGCAAAGCAUCGGGAAAAGCCCUGGCUUGGGGGGGGUGGCGCAGGGCCCCCAGUGCAGCCCUGACGCCCGGCGUGCUGCCAACGGGGCUAACAAAAGGCCAGCAGCGGGGCCAGCCCGUGCUGGGAGCGCCACGGAGCCCAUGCUGAAUAGCUCUUCCCGCACAGAGGAAGGCAUGAAGAGGCGUAAUCAAAUAAGGGUAUCAGCAUGGUGCUCCUUGAACGGCACUCCCAGCGUGAGCCGGCGGCAGGGCCGGGCGGAGGUGACAGGUAUCUUUAUCCCGCCACGCAGGAGAGCUCCAACGUCCCGCUGGCAGGAAUUUGUCUGCAAAUUUUCCCCCAUUGAAUGGAGCGAGGGGGCCGGCAAGGCGCGGGCUGAGAUGAUCGCUUGAUUACAGCCGGGGCAGGCGAGGUGGAGAGACGGGGCAGCUCCCAGGGAGCCGUGCUCCCAGCCCUUAACCUCUCCUCGGGAGACCGCAAAUUAUAUCUGUUAAUGUAUCAGCCCCCUGGUAUCCUACAAAUAAGUCGUCUGGCUAAGUGCAUGUCAGACAUUCGCAGGAGGAGUUGUUACCUUUUCAUCACUUAAUCAUUUUCAUCAUCAUCAAUUAAUUCAUCUUGCAAUAAACUUUAACCCAGUGAGUCCUGGGGAAGGCAGGUGAAGAGGCUUACCAGCCCAGCUGGACUGUAAACACAAGCAGGAGGCACCGGCUGCAAAAGGGGUUUAAAGAGCAGAGGGAAAGAGUUUUCCCCGCUCCCCCGUGGAAAUGGGAAACCCUCUGCCACGGGGACAGGAGUAUUCCCAGCCCCGCUUCCCAUUCCGCUCCCCUGCCAGCUGGGAUGUGCAGAGCCAGGGUCCCCCUACGCCGGGGACCAGGAGUGUCCGGAGGAAGGAUGCUCCCCUGGCGUACCAGGGCCGGGGAUGAGGGGGGGCACUUCAUGCACUCCCCCUGGGUGCCAGAAGUGAUUUACACAGUGCACCCGAGAGCAGAGUCAAUUAAGGUCACAUUUCUGUGUUGCUAAACAACAGGCGGCUCUGGGUUCAGGCCUGCUGAAAAGAAAACAAAAGCCACCCCUUGAAACGGGGGCUUUGAGAGGGUUCAAAGGAGCACGAAACAAAAGGCGGGCUUUGUGGGCUGCCCUCGCCCGCGCCUUCCCGGGCCCUUCCGCCACCAGAGACACCGUUAAUGUGGCAAGGGGGAGUUUUUAAUUGUCCGGCACAAACAAUGCUGGCAUAUUUAGGCCGGCCUCAUUACAGAGCUAUCCGAAAUGCUUGAGAAGCAUUCCCACCGCUUAGCAUAAAUAGCAGAAACACUCUUUCACGAGCAGAGCAGGUCCCAUCUGCUCCCAGCCCGUCCUCACCUUGACUUGCAAUGGCAAGCCCGUGGGGUCGGCCCCUCCGCCCCACUGCUCCCAAACCCCAGCGCGGGGACCUGCCUCCCUGCCCUCAGCUCACCCCGCCGUAGGGUGCUGCCCGGUCCCCGUGGGAGCGGAGGGCAGGAGCUGUGGGGAUUUGCAGCGAGGAGUGCUCUACCGAAUUGGCCGGUGUGGCAGCUCCGGCUGGGGUUUGCUCUGCCUGCCUGGCUCCAGCGGCUUGGCCACGGGUGAUGGGGGUCUCGAGGGGCAUCACGCACGGCUCCUGACUGGACAAGGCGGUUCGCACACAGCCCUCCUGGGUCCUGGCUGAUGUCCCUCAUGGGGAAUGAGACAGAGAAGGUCUCAGGGACCUUCCACAGCGGGGCUGAGCCUGAAUUGGAAAUAACACAGACAUUUCCCAGAGAGACCCAAACCCAAAUGGGGACCGGGGUCUGGGCUCUUGACGGCCACAGCUGUUUCAGGUUUACACCCCAUUGCACUUACUGGAGCUCCCUACCAGCUUUCCAGUUGGUGCACGGGGGCCCUUGACCCCAGCAGAGUGUCCCAUGAGCCCCUUGCAGUGAGCCGUGCCGGCAGGCCAUCCCCCAGCCCGGGCAGAGGAGCACGUGGCUGGGAGGGGGCUGCCCUGGCAGGGACGCAGCCCCCCGGGGCUGGGAAAUGGCAUGGGCUGCAGAUGCCGCAGGGUCAGCUGCCACCGCCAAGCCCAGCCAUGUGCCUGGCAUUUCCCGGGCAAGCGGUGCUGACAGGUUGUAGCCCGACAGCCAAGGCCGGGGCAGAGCUGUGCCAAGUGGGGCGGCGAGGCUGCCGGCACCGUGGGGCUGGAGAGCCGGCACCGAGGCACAGAGACAAGGCAGCCCCAGUCCCACAGGCAGGGGGUCCCUGAGGGGGCUGAGCUCCCCUCCCUGCACCAGGGUGGCUGCGAGUAGUAAAGGCACUGUGACCAUCCACCCUGCGUGUCCCACAUGCACGGGGAGCACAGGGACCCCUUUUCAGCCCAAGCAGUUUCUGUGCUCCCCACCCUGCCUGGCUCCCCUGCUUUCCCCCAGGACUUGUAGCUCCCGUCCCUGGAGCGAGCCGCCCCGGCAGCCGCGGGCAGCCCAGUGCAGGGCAGCCGGGGCGGCGAGCCUGUUUUCACCGCGUGGGUCCUGGCAAAAAGCCUUGUCAGCCCACAGGGAUCAAAGCGAGCAGCGUUUCCCGACCGAUACCUGAUCCUGGAGCUGGAAGGGAGCCGGGAGGCUGCCGAGUGCCUCCUGCACCGCUCCCACCGCCACGCAGUGCCGAGCGUGCCGAGGGCCCCGCGCCACCGGGCUGCGUUUUAUGGCACCGUGGUUUCUGCCAGCUCCCUCCUCCCCUCUUUUGCCUCCCCUUUCUUGGAGGCAACCAGCUCCCCACGCCCCACAGUUUAUUAAAAAUCCCGGGUACCUUGGAAGAGACAACACAAUAGUGUACUUGUUACAGCUGCCUCGUAUUAAUGGACUGCCCCUUUUGAUUUUAGAGUGGAACUUUUGGCAGAAAACCAGCAUCCAAAAAGGAAAAUGGCUGUAAAACUCAGCAAAAGGGGGGAGCGGGGGGGAAGCCCCCAGCUUUGAUCAGAAAGGCUUGAAGAUGAAUCGCAGUGAUGCCCAGGCAGAUUUGCUAGAGGUGAAGUUCAGUUGCAAAGAGGGGAGCCAGGGCAGGCGCAGAGGGGGCUGGCCGGGGCUGCAAUGGGGCUGGGGUGGAAGGCAGCCACGGCAGCCAGAGGUUCAAAGGCCUCUGCAGCGAGGAGCAGAAUUGGAGGAUUAUUCACUUUCUAUAUUUUCACUCCUGCAGCACACAUGGGAAUCUAAUUGGCCAGGAUGAGAAAUACAGCCAGACAGCUUACAAGUGGGCUCAAGAAGACAUAAAAAUAUUUGCAGCUGCAAGCCAUUAAAGGCGAACCCAGCCUCGCUCUUACACUUUAAUUACCCUGCUGUACGCUCUCCUCCACGUACCAGAGCUAACGUCAGUUCAAAAACCUUUCUGAUCUUAAAAGGCCAAGCACAACGCCUGGCUGCACUGGGGCGGCAGGGCUCUGGCACAGCGAGGGCUGCACACCUCACAGGGUGUCCAGGCAACAGCUCUCACCCCACCGCCCCAACGCAGACCCCGACACUGCUCCUACAAGGCUGACAGCAGCCCUGACCCCCCCGAAGGGGUUAGCUUGGCUUUUUAUGGAGGGAGGGAGCCCAGUCUCUUGGGGUCAGGGGCUUCCCGUGCAGCCAGUGCUCUGCAGGGUCUGGCCAAGCUCAUCCCUGCACCUCCCUGCAGUGGCGGCAUGUGGCAAAGCCCUUUGUGGGGCGAUGCCGGCGGGUGUGUCCUCCCACAGCCUCCCCAGCCGUCAUUGCUGCUUCUGCAUCGCAGCCGAGCCGCUUAUUCCCCAGGAUCCAAAAGCACUUGCCAGGGAGAUUUCUCCCUUCUCAGCACCCGGACCCACCCCAAUGGCUGGAGACAAAGGGUGACGGAGGGACCCCAUCUCCCCAUCUCCACCACGGCAGCUCCACGUCCAGGUCACUACUCUUCGCAGUGCUACGGGCACUGCAGGCUACCCAGGGGACGAUGCCACCCACAGCCGCCGUGCAGCCACCCCGGGAUGCUGGCAGCUCAGCACUGCCCGCAGGGGGGCUCUGGAUUCGGUGAGGGGUGGCGGGGCGGCAAGCCCAGCCCAGCCCAGCCGGCCACCGCCGUGCUGCUCCCGGCUCCUUGGCUGCUCAUUUCCUUUUCCGCUUCUGCAGUGACACCAAAGAUGUUAUUGCAGGUGCCGGCCGUGGCCCCGCUCGCUCCCCCGCAUGGUUCACCCGGCUUCUCCUGAAACCUGAGGAGAACUGAACUCAUUCUAUGCCAUUUUAUUUCAAUGCUCUGAGGGUUAACCUUGUGCCAGGCAUUUUUAAUCCAGCUAUAAACACGGGAGAGCAGAGGGACUGCAACCUUGCUUAAUGGGGCAAUUUUUUAUUGAUUAGUUUGAGGCUUUAAUGCAAUCUCCUUCCAAAUGCAUGAGCUGGCCAGCAAGAGGGUGUUUGAGUCUGGACUCAUUUUAAUUGAGCUUGAAGUUGCUUGGUGGCACCAAAGGGGCAUUGCAGGACAUAGGUAAGGACCCCAAAAGAUGGGGAAAGACCCUCAGGUGGAAGACCUGAAAUGAAUAUAUGGUGUUUGCACUAGUUUGAGACGUUAAACCCAGGUGCGUGCACGGGACAAGAGGAAGACCUGCCUGGAACUGCUGGUGCUGGGACUGUGCACCAGGGUGUAGGCAGGGAGCUCGCUGGUCCUGAGUCCCCAACAGUGCUGGUCCUGGGGUGCCGAGAGCUGCCCUGCUUCUGGGGCAGAUGCUUCAAGUCCUGCAAGGAAAUGCAGGGACAGGCGGGCUCAGGAGCCCCGUGCUGCCCGAGGACAUCUCUGCUGGAGCCAGCGUGCUGGGGGUGACGCCGUGUCACCGGCACUGCUGGGGGGCCGAUGGGCACAGCACAGCACAGCAGAGCCUCGCGGGCAGGACGGCACAGGGGCAGCGACGCAGCACUGCCGGCAGCCCCGGCAGGCCUCCACGCACAGAUGGCUGUGAGCAGGACCCAGCCUUUCUCUCUCCUGCCCCAAACCCUGCCAACCUGGCAGGAGCUGGCAGGGAGGGCAGAGAGGGUGCCGUGCCCCGGGAGCCCACCUGUGCCCGAGGAUGGGGAGGAGGCGGCCGCAGCCCCGGCCGACAGCUGGGGAGAGCAAAGCGAAGGCUAAAUAAGGAUGCUGGCCGCUCCUGGCUGCCAGCCCAGUGCUGCCCCCACAAAUCACCCAGUGGCAGAUGAAAAUCAAACCCCGAUGGGAAGAUGAUGCCUGGGGCCGGGCUGAGCGCCAAAGGAGUGAUGUUAGCCCCUCCACGGGGUGCAGGCCAGCAGGAACCUUUCCGGGCAUCGUGUCCCCAGCGGGAAUUUGCUGUGAGCCGGUCUCACCCCUUGCAGGGGGCGGAGGUUCCCUGUGCCCCCCAGGAGAGGACUGGCCAGGGGAUUCAUCUCGGGGUCGGGGAGCCGGGCGGCUGUCGCCUGCCCAGGCCGGCAUCGGGGCUGCUCCUGGCUCUGUCCCGCUCGGCUGCUCCCGGCCCCUGCCGAGCCCCGGGGGGCAGCACGGGGGGGGGGGGGGGGGGGAGCGGGGGCUCCAGAUUGGAACCACAUGGAAGCACAUUUGCAACAAAUUAGGCCGGGAGCCAGCAGCUCUUGCUUGGCCGGGUGUGCAGCCAAUCUUUGGGGAUUGUCAGCUCCUCCCAGGUUUCCACAGCGGAUGUUCCCUGGCCAGAGCGCAGCUGGGCUCCGCGCAAAGCUGCGGCCGAGGCAGCCCAGAAGGAGAUGAGCACACGCGCGGGCAGGGACCCCCGCCCGCAGGCGCAGCCCCGCCGGGUCCAGCGGGCCCCUGCGCGCUCCCCGCCUCAGCCAGGGAUGCUUUUUUGGGGUGAGGAUGCCCCAGCGCUCCGGGGGAGAGGAGGUGGUGCGCCCGAGGGGUUAUUCAGCCGCUUCCCAGCCUGGCAGCCCUGGGGCGAGGGGGCAGCUGCAGCGGGCAUGAUGCCUCCCUGCCUGCCCCGGCUCACCAACCCCUCGAGCUGCACCCAAAAUUCAGCAGCUGGGGAGCCGCAGCUCAAGCACUAGUGUGAAAUCACCUCUCAGGGGUACCUGAGAAAAGGGCUGACGUGAGAAGUGGGGAAGAAAAGCUCUGCCUGGCAGCCCUCACGGGGGGGGGGGGGGGGGGGUGGGGGGUGAGAGGGUUAAACCAGUGGUACAGAAAGGCUUUGAAUGUGCAUGUCAAAGAAUGACACUAACAACUCGUGUGACAACCUGCCAGGAAAACUUUUCAGAUCAUAAUUCGCAUAGCGUUUGUAUCAUGUUCCCUUCCUGUUUAAGAAGGCAAUAUGGAAACCGUGCAAAGGGUUAUUUGCUGGUCAGGCCGGUUUGCUGGUUACACUCCCUGUCACACGCGUCCCUUUAGGAAGUGAUGCCACCGUAACAGACAUCAUUUCUAAAAAUAACACCAUCCCAUGCAUUA
Long non-coding RNA from Harpia harpyja (harpy eagle), 8472 nucleotides. RefSeq lists it as uncharacterized. The transcript is spliced from 3 exons. The record is from RefSeq and is a predicted model, not a curated record. NCBI's taxonomy places the organism in Eukaryota, Metazoa, Chordata, Aves, Accipitriformes, Accipitridae.